GGUGAACGCUGGCGGCGUGCCUAAUACAUGCAAGUCGAACGCUGGAAAUCUAGCUUGCUAGAUUGAAGGAGUGGCGAACGGGUGAAUAAUACAUAAGCAACCUACCCACGAAGACUGGGAUAAUCUCUGGAAACGGGGACUAAUACCGGAUAGGUAAUCGGAAGGCAUCUUCUGAUUAUUAAAGGUUAAAAACACUGGUGGAUGGGCUUAUGGCGCAUUAGUUAGUUGGUGAGGUAACGGCCCACCAAGACGAUGAUGCGUAGCCGGCCUGAGAGGGUGAACGGCCACAUUGGGACUGAGACACGGCCCAGACUCCUACGGGAGGCAGCAGUAGGGAAUUUUCGGCAAUGGGGGAAACCCUGACCGAGCAACGCCGCGUGAGUGAUGACGGCCUUCGGGUUGUAAAGCUCUGUUGUAAGGGAAGAACGGUAGAUAGAGAAUAUCUAAAUGACGGUACCUUACCAGAAAGCCACGGCUAACUACGUG
Molecule: ribosomal RNA, 486 nt
Filed under: uncultured bacterium
Lineage: Bacteria
Description: partial 16S ribosomal RNA
Rfam family: Bacterial small subunit ribosomal RNA
Source: RNAcentral